UGACCUCGGAUCAGGUAGGGAUACCCGCUGAACUUAAGCAUAUCAUUAAGCGGAGG
RNAcentral lists this ribosomal RNA (56 nucleotides) under Leptosphaerulina americana. Its description in RNAcentral is "partial 28S ribosomal RNA". It matches the Rfam family "Eukaryotic large subunit ribosomal RNA", at positions 1 to 56 of the family's 3401-position model. The record is from RNAcentral. Lineage: Eukaryota; Fungi; Ascomycota; Dothideomycetes; Pleosporales; Didymellaceae.